This 274-nucleotide ribosomal RNA is filed under the name uncultured bacterium. Its description in RNAcentral is "partial 16S ribosomal RNA". It matches the Rfam family "Bacterial small subunit ribosomal RNA", at positions 523 to 796 of the family's 1533-position model. The record is from RNAcentral.
AUACAGAGGGUGCGAGCGUUAAUCGGAAUUACUGGGCGUAAAGCGCGCGUAGGCGGCUACUUAAGUCAGAUGUGAAAUCCCCGGGCUCAACCUGGGAACUGCAUCUGAUACUGGGUAGCUAGAGUUUUGGAGAGGGAAGUAGAAUUUCAGGUGUAGCGGUGAAAUGCAUAGAGAUCUGAAGGAAUACCAGUGGCGAAGGCGACUUCCUGGCCAAAAACUGACGCUGAGGUGCGAAAGCGUGGGUAGCAAACAGGAUUAGAAACCCUAGUAGUCC